AAGCAACAGAUGACAGGAUGCA
Molecule: non-coding RNA, 22 nt
Filed under: Arabidopsis thaliana (thale cress)
Lineage: Eukaryota; Viridiplantae; Streptophyta; Magnoliopsida; Brassicales; Brassicaceae
Source: RNAcentral